GUCUGUGAUUUGACUCUUCACUCCUGUGUAAUCCCUGCCUGUUUUUUUCUAGCUCUGAAGUUGUCUCCUGGCUCCUGGCGCUUGUCUGACUCUGGAGCUGGAACCGUUUUAUCUCCUGACCCCCCUCGAUCCUGAAAUAAAUCCUCUCCUUUCUGUUAUUGACCGGUCCUUCUGCCUGUGACGUGGUUACUUAACAGUCGACACCAUAGCGUCAUUUAAGUGUGUUUUCCUAUUUCGUCAUCUUUGUACGCCAUUGUUACGGGGCGACGCGCACGUGCGCGGGCUGCGAACUGAGUCUGUGCCUCUCCUCUCUCCCGGGUCCCAAGGCUUGGGGUUUUGUUUGUUUGCUGUGAUGAGCGCACAGGCUGCGUUCCCGCUGAUGUUAGAAUUAUUUGAGAGGAGCAACUUCAAUACAAAAAAAAAAAAAAGUUUUUCUCAGAUCGCGUGCAGGGAAGCGUGUCUUCGUAGUUAGAUCUCAGGGUGUGAGUUCAGGAUCCCUGCAGCUCCGAGCCUGCCGGAUCCCUCUGACCUGACAGCGGUGGAUUCCAACCCCCUGAAACCGUGAGCUUAGCCGCCCGCCCGUCCCCCCACGCUGCUCUUCCCCACAGCGCACUCAGAUACCUGCGAGGUUGAUCUCCGACGCCCGCGGGCACCGAGUCUCCAGGCCGCCGUCUCGGGGGCUGCAGCCUCCUCCGUCCCACACACUUCCGCUCCCGGUGGUCCCUGGAAGACACAGAGCUUGGUCUCCCCGAAUCACCGAAUCACCGAGCGCCCCGAGCGCCCCUCUCCUCGGAGCCCGUCCUGCUCUCUACACCUCUCCGAGCUCUGCUGCCCCAGGGACCAGUGAGCCGGAGCCGACCCUGGGCCUUGUCCGCCACAGAGGCCACAGCAAAGUCUCAAAAAGACUGACAGUCACAUGUUUCUCAACACGAAAUGACCAAAAAUGUACUCAAAACCCAAAGCAUGAGAAGCCUGCAGUGUUUGUGGCGGCUCUCGAGCCUUUUCUGCCGCCUUGGGGAUGAACGCAGAACGCGGUUUCCUUAAGCCGUGUGUGUUGUCAUCUGUGUAACACCAACAAAUGCUGCCCAAAGCUGCCGAAAACACCUCAGCUCUGACUCACCACUGUUCCAUGUUACAAACUGCAGUGUUUUUAAUAUAUAUCAUGUUAUGUGACAUAGUAUAUUAUAUAUCAUAUAUUGCAUGUUAUGUAUCAUAUUUCACAUAUUACAUUUAUUACAUAUUACACAUUACAUAUUAUAUAUUACAUAAUAUUGCUGUGUGCUUAUGGGGGUGUUUAAGUUACUUUUAUAUUGCUGUUGAAUAAUAUAAUUCCUUAAUUAUAAUAAUUAUAAAAUUAUAAUUAUAUAACAUAAAAUAUUAUAUAUAAUAUAAAAUACUAUAUGUAUCUAUCAUGCUUUUAGAGCUUGGAGAUAUCUUGGAUGGAAUAAGUGCUGAGGACCUAAGCUCAAUCCCCAGUACCAGCAUGAAAAACUGGGCACAGUGGGGUGUGGCUGUAGUCACUGCCCAGAUUCCUGGGGCUACCCAGCCAGGACAGCCGAAUCGCUGAGCUGUACGUUCAAUAAGAGCUCUGUCUCAAAAAUAAGGUGGAGGCCAGGUAUGGUGGGGCAUAGGUUAAACAGGUGGAUCUCUCACUGCAAGGCCUGGUAGGGCUACAUAGUAAGCCCUUGUCUCAAAAGAAAGGAUGGUGAGCCAUUGAGGAACCAACACCUUUCACCUACAUGGGCACACACAAACCUGUCUUUAAAAGCAUAUAUAAAUAUGGUUGCAUUCUUGUGGAAAAUAGUGGUUUAGUUAUGAAAGGCAAAGAUUUAAUAUUUCUCUAUAAAACUAGUAUCAGGUUCUUAUAUCUUAAAAGUGUAUCACGUGAGACAGGCACACCCAUUUCGUCGGCAGGUAAAUUUGCUUUCAUUUUCAAUAAAUUGCAAAGCUAUGUA
Mastomys coucha (southern multimammate mouse) is the source of this 1955-nucleotide long non-coding RNA. RefSeq lists it as uncharacterized. NCBI's taxonomy places the organism in Eukaryota, Metazoa, Chordata, Mammalia, Rodentia, Muridae. The record is from RefSeq and is a predicted model, not a curated record. The transcript is spliced from 2 exons.